GAGUUUUAUAGCAUAACUGAAAAAGUUUCAUGAUUUUUGGAAGCCAUCUUAUAGGUAACCCGCUUAUGUGAAAACUGAAAUAUAGCUUUCCAGAAAGAAUUUUUAUUCAAAUCUACAAUAGCUAUGAUGUUUAGAUAUAAAAAAAUGGAUUGCUAUAAUUUAUAUCAUCAACCAAAAAAAUAAGAUUUUUGAAAAUCAUCUUUAUAUAGGAUAAACAACUCACAUGACAACUUAAAUAUUGCUUUUUGGGAAGAAUAUAUAUUUCUAAUCUACAAUAGCUAUGCUAUUGUUGGUGGUUACUAGAACUCAACAAGUGUAGGGGUUCUUAGGCUUUCAAAGGCUACCUAUAAAAGUAACUAGGUGACCGAGUGACUAGAAUUCAAUCUGCCUCCUAAAUAGCUUGCUAUCCUCCUAAUUUAUUGCCCGCACCAAGAGAUCUGUGGAGUUGAAAAGAUCUAAAUACCCCCC
RNAcentral lists this long non-coding RNA (468 nucleotides) under Setaria viridis. Its description in RNAcentral is "long non-coding RNA (SVIR_LNC002029)". Lineage: Eukaryota; Viridiplantae; Streptophyta; Magnoliopsida; Poales; Poaceae. The record is from RNAcentral.